Molecule: ribosomal RNA, 670 nt
Filed under: uncultured bacterium
Lineage: Bacteria
Description: bacterial SSU rRNA
Rfam family: Bacterial small subunit ribosomal RNA
Source: RNAcentral
UAAUUCCCAGCGAUUCGGCGGGGUGGCAUCACUCUGCCGGGAAAUGAAUUUCGCCUCGAGAGGGGCCCACGUGAUAUUAGAUAGUUGGCGGUGUAACGGACCACCAAGUCUUAGAUGUCUAGCGGGUGUGAGAGCACGACCCGCGCCACUGGCACUGUGACACUGGCCAGACACCUACGGGUGGCUGCAGUCGAGGAUCUUCGUCAAUGGGGGAAACCCUGAUGCAGCGACGCCGCGUGAACGAUGAAGCCCUUCGGGGUGUAAAGUUCUUUCGACAGGAACGAUAAUGACGGUACCUGAAGAAGAAGCUGCGGCUAACUACGUGCCAGCAGCCGCGGUAAUACGUAGGCAGCAAGCGUUGUUCGGAAUUACUGGGCGUAAAGAGUGCGUAGGUGGUUGGCUAAGUUUGGUGUGAAAUCUCCCGGCUCAACUGGGAGGGUGCGCCGAAAACUGGCUAGCUAGAGUGUGGGAGAGGGACGUGGAAUUCCUGGUGUAGCGGUGAAAUGCGUAGAUAUCAGGAGGAACACCUGCGGUGUAGACGGCGUCCUGGACCAUUACUGACACUGAGGCACGAAAGCGUGGGGAGCAAAUAGGAUUAGAUACCCUGGUAGUCCACGCCCUAAACGAUGCAAACUUGGUGUGCGCCCUUCAUUGGGUGCGUGCCGAAGCU